RNAcentral lists this ribosomal RNA (496 nucleotides) under uncultured bacterium. Its description in RNAcentral is "partial 16S ribosomal RNA". It matches the Rfam family "Bacterial small subunit ribosomal RNA", at positions 28 to 507 of the family's 1533-position model. The record is from RNAcentral.
GAUGAACGCUGGCGGCGUGCCUAAUACAUGCCAGUCGAGCGAACGGACGAGAAGCUUGCUUCUCUGAUGUUAGCGGCGGACGGGUGAGUAACACGUGGAUAACCUACCUAUAAGACUGGGAUAACUUCGGGAAACCGGAGCUAAUACCGGAUGAUAUUUUGAACCGCAUGGUUCAAAAGUGAAAGACGGUCUUGCUGUCACUUAUAGAUGGAUCCGCGCUGCAUUAGCUAGUUGGUAAGGUAACGGCUUACCAAGGCAACGAUGCAUAGCCGACCUGAGAGGGGAACCGGCAAAACGGGAACGAAGACACGGUCCAGCCUCCAACGGGAGGAAGCGGUGGGGAAUCUUCCGCAAUGGGCGAAAGCCUGACGGGGCAACGCGGCGUGGGUAAUAAGGGUCUUCGGAUGGUAAACCCCUGUUAUUGGGAAGAACAUAUGUGUAAGUAACUGUGCACAUCUUGACGGUACCUAAUCAGAAAGCCACGGCUAACUACGUG